GUCUCACAGUUUGAUCCUGGCUCAGAACGAACGCUGGCGGCGCGCUUAACACAUGCAAGUCGAACGAGAAGGCGUAGCAAUACGCUUGUAAAGUGGCGAACGGGUGAGGAAUACAUGGGUAACCUACCCUCGAGUGGGGGAUAACCCGCCGAAAGGCGAGCUAAUACCGCGUACGCUUCCGAUCUUGCGGGAUUGGAAGGAAAGCUGUCCCAAGGGGAUGGCGCUCAAGGAUGGGCUCAUGUCCUAUCAGCUUGUUGGUAGGGUAACGGCCUACCAAGGCAUCGACGGGUAGCUGGUCUGAGAGGACGAUCAGCCACACUGGCACUGCGACACGGGCCAGACUCC
RNAcentral lists this ribosomal RNA (345 nucleotides) under uncultured bacterium. RNAcentral's name for it is "bacterial SSU rRNA". It matches the Rfam family "Bacterial small subunit ribosomal RNA", at positions 1 to 339 of the family's 1533-position model. The record is from RNAcentral.